RNAcentral lists this ribosomal RNA (422 nucleotides) under uncultured bacterium. RNAcentral describes it as "bacterial SSU rRNA". It matches the Rfam family "Bacterial small subunit ribosomal RNA", at positions 355 to 774 of the family's 1533-position model. The record is from RNAcentral.
UAAGGAAUAUUGGUCAAUGGAGGCAACUCUGAACCAGCCAUGCCGCGUGCAGGAAGACGGCCCUCUGGGUUGUAAACUGCUUUUAUUCGGGAAUAAACCUAUCUACGUGUAGAUAGCUGAAUGUACCGAAGGAAUAAGGAUCGGCUAACUCCGUGCCAGCAGCCGCGGUAAUACGGAGGAUCCAAGCGUUAUCCGGAUUUAUUGGGUUUAAAGGGUGCGUAGGCGGCCUAUUAAGUCAGGGGUGAAAGACGGUAGCUCAACUAUCGCAGUGCCCUUGAUACUGAUGAGCUAGAAUGAACUAGAGGUAGGCGGAAUGUGACAAGUAAGGGUGAAAUGCAUAGAUAUGUCACAGAACACAGAUUGCGAAGGCAGCUUACUAUGGUUUUAUUGACGCUGAGGCACGAAAGCGUGGGGAUCAAACA